UAGGGAAUCUUGCACAAUGGGCGCAAGCCUGAUGCAGCAACGCCGCGUGCGCGAUGAAGGCCUUCGGGUCGUAAAGCGCUUUUCUGGGAGAAGAGUACGGACGGUAUCCCAGGAAGAAGGCUCGGCUAACUACGUGCCAGCAGCCGCGGUAAAACGUAGGAGCCAAGCGUUAUCCGAAUUUACUGGGCGUAAAGCGCGUGCAGGCGGUUCUGUAAGUGGGCUGUGAAAUCUCCUGGCUCAACUGGGAGAGGCCGGUCCAGACUGCGGGACUGGAGGGCGGUAGAGGGAGGUGGAAUUCCCGGUGUAGUGGUGAAAUGCGUAGAGAUCGGGAGGAACACCAGUGGCGAAAGCGGCCUCCUGGACCGUACCUGACGCUCAGACGCGAAAGCUAGGGGAGCGAACGGGAUUAGAAACCCCGGUAGUCCUAGCCGUAAACGAUGUCGACUUGGCGUCGGUGGGGUAAAAGCCAGCGGUGCCGGAGCAAACGCGAUAAGUCUACCGCCUGGGGACUACGGCCGACG
This 521-nucleotide ribosomal RNA is filed under the name uncultured Chloroflexota bacterium. Its description in RNAcentral is "bacterial SSU rRNA". It matches the Rfam family "Bacterial small subunit ribosomal RNA", at positions 355 to 891 of the family's 1533-position model. Lineage: Bacteria; Bacillati; Chloroflexota. The record is from RNAcentral.